RNAcentral lists this ribosomal RNA (467 nucleotides) under uncultured bacterium. RNAcentral describes it as "partial 16S ribosomal RNA". It matches the Rfam family "Bacterial small subunit ribosomal RNA", at positions 29 to 507 of the family's 1533-position model. The record is from RNAcentral.
ACGCACGCUGGCGGCGUGCUUCGCACCUGCAAGUCGAACGGAAAGGCCCUGCUUUUGUGGGGUGCUCGAGUGGCGAACGGGUGAGUAACACGUGAGUAACCUGCCCUUGACUUUGGGAUAACUUCAGGAAACUGGGGCUAAUACCGGAUAGGAGCUCCUGCUGCAUGGUGGGGGUUGGAAAGUUUCGGCGGUUGGGGAUGGACUCGCGGCUUAUCAGCUUGUUGGUGGGGUAGUGGCUUACCAAGGCUUUGACGGGUAGCCGGCCUGAGAGGGUGACCGGCCACAUUGGGACUGAGAUACGGCCCAGACUCCUACGGGAGGCAGCAGUGGGGAAUAUUGCACAAUGGGCGGAAGCCUGAUGCAGCAACGCCGCGUGCGGGAUGACGGCCUUCGGGUUGUAAACCGCUUUCGCCUGUGACGAAGCGUGAGUGACGGUAAUGGGUAAAGAAGCACCGGCUAACUACGUG